GCAUUGGUGGUUCAGUUGUAAAAUUCUUGCUCCCAUGCAGGAGACCUGGGUUCGAUUCCCAGACAAUGCA
This 70-nucleotide transfer RNA is filed under the name Loxodonta africana (African savanna elephant). It matches the Rfam family "tRNA". From Rfam's summary of the family: Transfer RNA (tRNA) molecules are approximately 80 nucleotides in length. Their secondary structure includes four short double-helical elements and three loops (D, anti-codon, and T loops). Lineage: Eukaryota; Metazoa; Chordata; Mammalia; Proboscidea; Elephantidae. The record is from Rfam by way of RNAcentral.